Molecule: long non-coding RNA, 951 nt
Organism: Cylas formicarius (sweet potato weevil)
Lineage: Eukaryota; Metazoa; Arthropoda; Insecta; Coleoptera; Brentidae
Exons: 3
Source: RefSeq, a predicted model, not a curated record
GUGUCUGAUUAUAACUCGGUACAUUUUCGGUGCUAUAAAAUCGAUGCCCGCUCAAACAUACUCGCAGUCCUUUCAAACUUCGCACCAAAAUGUGUGUUAAGAAUCGUGCCAUGGCCCAGGCGGUGCGAGGAUGCAGCGACGCCCGACUUUAUUAAAAGGCUCAUUUCGCACCGGAUGAUGAUAACCCAACAUUAGGUUCGCAUAAAUUAAGUCCCAAGGAUACAACAACGUACACGCAAAACACCACCCCCUAUUUCGGUCACUGUUGGUACAGGUUUAGAGUACUAAAUCACCGCGCUGUCGUGACAGGAUGGUUCUCCCGUUGGAGCGAUCCAAGUGGCUUUUUUCUCAAUAAAAAAGCAAAAAUGUUGUUCGUAGUGUAGGCGCUUCCUCCCACUUGAGCAUCCAGGGUUUGGCGUAGGUCUCCUAUCUUAGAAUCUUGUGCUCAACUGGCGGGCGGCAUUACAUGCUCCAAAGAAAAAUAAACUAAAAAUUGUAAAAUCCCCCAUUAAUUGAAGUAACGAAAUUACCCGAGAAUCAUUAGAGUUACGCUGCCGUCGAUUUUGAACGCUGAACUUGGGUCAGCAGUAAAUGUUUCGGAAUUUCCAUUGCCCUUCGAAUAGCCAUUUUGUUAUGCUCGUGAUAAAAGGAAGCGGAUCGUUUUUUGAAGUUACGUUGUCGUAGUCGAUAAUUGUAUUUGGUUAAGACGCCCUAGUUAAUUAAGUUUAAUUUAUAGGUAAGUAUAAAAAUGGAGCAAAGUUACGCAAACUAAGGCAUAUUGUAAGACUCGUUGUUAGGUCUAGUAAACUGACUUAGUUAAGGUAAUUUCUCCACUAAACAGGGACUGGAUAGGGCCUCUAGUCGUAAGCUACGAUAGGAAAAACGAAUUGCAUUCUUUUAUCAAUUGCAUGUGUCAGCGAAAUGUGUUUUCGUAAUAAAGCUGUAUGAAAA